Molecule: ribosomal RNA, 415 nt
Filed under: uncultured bacterium
Lineage: Bacteria
Description: bacterial SSU rRNA
Rfam family: Bacterial small subunit ribosomal RNA
Source: RNAcentral
UCGGGAAUAUUGCGCAAUGGAGGAAACUCUGACGCAGUGACGCCGCGUAUAGGAAGAAGGUUUUCGGAUUGUAAACUAUUGUCGUUAGGGAAGAAAAAGACAGUACCUAAGGAGGAAGCUCCGGCUAACUACGUGCCAGCAGCCGCGGUAAUACGUAGGGAGCAAGCGUUAUCCGGAUUUAUUGGGUGUAAAGGGUGCGUAGACGGGCGAUCAAGUUAGUUGUGAAAUCCCUCGGCUCAACUGAGGAACUGCAGCUAAAACUGGUUAGUCUUGAGUGCAGGAGAGGUAAGUGGAAUUCCUAGUGUAGCGGUGAAAUGCGUAGAUAUUAGGAGGAACACCAGUGGCGAAGGCGACUUACUGGACUGUAACUGACGUUGAGGCACGAAAGUGUGGGGAGCAAACAGGAUUAGAUACC